CUUCGGGUGGGGAUUAGUGGCGAACGGGUGAGUAACACGUGGGCAAUCUGCCCUGCACUCUGGGACAAGCCCUGGAAACCGGGUCUAAUACCGGAUACUGACCUGCCAAGGCAUCUUGGCGGGUCGAAAGCUCCGGCGGUGCAGGAUGAGCCCGCGGCCUAUCAGCUUGUUGGUGAGGUAAUGGCUCACCAAGGCGACGACGGGUAGCCGGCCUGAGAGGGCGACCGGCCACACUGGGACUGAGAUACGGCCCAGACUCCUACGGGAGGCAGCAGUGGGGAAUAUUGCACAAUGGGCGAAAGCCUGAUGCAGCGACGCCGCGUGAGGGAUGACGGCCUUCGGGUUGUAAACCUCUUUCAGCAGGGAAGAAGCGAAAGUGACGGUACCUGCAGAAGAAGCGCCGGCUAACUACGUGCCAGCAGCCGCGGUAAUACGUAGGGCGCAAGCGUUGUCCGGAAUUAUUGGGCGUAAAGAGCUCGUAGGCGGCUUGUCGCGUCGGUUGUGAAAGCCCGGGGCUUAACCCCGGGUCUGCAGUCGAUACGGGCAGGCUAGAGUUCGGUAGGGGAGAUCGGAAUUCCUGGUGUAGCGGUGAAAUGCGCAGAUAUCAGGAGGAACACCGGUGGCGAAGGCGGAUCUCUGGGCCGAUACUGACGCUGAGGAGCGAAAGCGUGGGGAGCGAACAGGAUUAGAUACCCUGGUAGUCCACGCCGUAAACGGUGGGCACUAGGUGUGGGCAACAUUCCACGUUGUCCGUGCCGCAGCUAACGCAUUAAGUGCCCCGCCUGGGGAGUACGGCCGCAAGGCUAAAACUCAAAGGAAUUGACGGGGGCCCGCACAAGCGGCGGAGCAUGUGGCUUAAUUCGACGCAACGCGAAGAACCUUACCAAGGCUUGACAUACACCGGAAAGCAUCAGAGAUGGUGCCCCCCUUGUGGUCGGUGUACAGGUGGUGCAUGGCUGUCGUCAGCUCGUGUCGUGAGAUGUUGGGUUAAGUCCCGCAACGAGCGCAACCCUUGUCCCGUGUUGCCAGCAACUCUUCGGAGGUUGGGGACUCACGGGAGACCGCCGGGGUCAACUCGGAGGAAGGUGGGGACGACGUCAAGUCAUCAUGCCCCUUAUGUCUUGGGCUGCACACGUGCUACAAUGGCCGGUACAAUGAGCUGCGAUACCGCAAGGUGGAGCGAAUCUCAAAAAGCCGGUCUCAGUUCGGAUUGGGGUCUGCAACUCGACCCCAUGAAGUCGGAGUCGCUAGUAAUCGCAGAUCAGCAUUGCUGCGGUGAAUACGUUCCCGGGCCUUGUACACACCGCCCGUCACGUCA
This 1318-nucleotide ribosomal RNA is filed under the name Streptomyces sp. SJKP. RNAcentral describes it as "bacterial SSU rRNA". It matches the Rfam family "Bacterial small subunit ribosomal RNA", at positions 78 to 1404 of the family's 1533-position model. The record is from RNAcentral. Lineage: Bacteria; Bacillati; Actinomycetota; Actinomycetes; Kitasatosporales; Streptomycetaceae.